CACAAGCGGUGGAGCAUGUGGUUUAAUUCGAAGCAACGCGAAGAACCUUACCAGGUCUUGACAUCCCUGACAACCCGAGAGAUCGGGCGUUCCCCUUCGGGGGACAGGGUGACAGGUGGUGCAUGGUUGUCGUCAGCUCGUGUCGUGAGAUGUUGGGUUAAGUCCCGCAACGAGCGCAACCCUCGACCUUAGUUGCCAGCAUUCAGUUGGGCACUCUAAGGUGACUGCCGGCUAAAAGUCGGAGGAAGUGGGGAUGACGUCAAAUCAUCAUGCCCCUUAUGACCUGGGCUACACACGUGCUACAAUGGUUGGUACAACGAGUUGCGAGUCGGUGACGGCGAGCUAAUCUCUUAAAGCCAAUCUCAGUUCGGAUUGUAGGCUGCAACUCGCCUACAUGAAGUCGGAAUCGCUAGUAAUCGCGGAUCAGCACGCCGCGGUCGAAUACGUUCCCGGGCCUU
RNAcentral lists this ribosomal RNA (458 nucleotides) under uncultured Streptococcus sp. RNAcentral's name for it is "bacterial SSU rRNA". It matches the Rfam family "Bacterial small subunit ribosomal RNA", at positions 924 to 1382 of the family's 1533-position model. Lineage: Bacteria; Bacillati; Bacillota; Bacilli; Lactobacillales; Streptococcaceae. The record is from RNAcentral.